UGAACGCUGGCGGCGUGCUUAACACAUGCAAGUCGAACGGAAAGGCCCUGCUUGCAGGGUACUCGAGUGGCGAACGGGUGAGUAACACGUGGGUGAUCUGCCCUGUACUUUGGGAUAAGCCUGGGAAACUGGGUCUAAUACCGAAUAUGACCACUUCUUGGAUGGGGUGGUGGAAAGCUUUUGCGGUAUGGGAUGAGCUCGCGGCCUAUCAGCUUGUUGGCGGAGUAAAAGCCCACCAAGGCGACGAUCGGUAGCUGGUCUGAGAGUACGAUCAGCCACACUGGGACUGAGACACGGCCCAGACUCCUACGGGAGGCAGCAGUGGGGAAUUUUCCGCAAUGGGCGAAAGCCUGACGGAGCAAGACCGCGUGGGG
RNAcentral lists this ribosomal RNA (374 nucleotides) under uncultured bacterium. RNAcentral describes it as "bacterial SSU rRNA". It matches the Rfam family "Bacterial small subunit ribosomal RNA", at positions 30 to 406 of the family's 1533-position model. The record is from RNAcentral.